CCUACGGGCGGCAGCAGUGAGGAAUAUUGGUCAAUGGGCGCGAGCCUGAACCAGCCAAGUCGCGUGAGGGAUGAAGGUUCUAUGGAUCGUAAACCUCUUUUAUAAGGGAGUAAAGUGUGGGACGAGUCCUAUUUUGUAUGUACCUUAUGAAUAAGGAUCGGAUAACUCCGUGCCAGCAGCCGCGGUAAUACGGAGGAUCCGAGCGUUAUCCGGAUUUAUUGGGUUUAAAGGGUGCGUAGGCGGCCGUUUAAGUCAGCGGUGAAAGUCUGUGGCUCAACCAUGGAAUUGCCGUUGAAACUGGGGGGCUUGAGUAUGUUAGAGGCAGGCGGAAUGCGUGGUGUAGCGGUGAAAUGCGUAGAUAUCACGCAGAACCCCGAUUGCGAAGGCAGCCUGCCAAGCCAUGACUGACGCUGAUGCACGAAAGCGUGGGGAUCAAACAGGAUUAGAUACCCCUGUAGUC
Molecule: ribosomal RNA, 460 nt
Filed under: uncultured bacterium
Lineage: Bacteria
Description: partial 16S ribosomal RNA
Rfam family: Bacterial small subunit ribosomal RNA
Source: RNAcentral